UACGGAGGAUGCGAGCGUUAUCCGGAUUUAUUGGGUUUAAAGGGUGCGUAGGUUGUUUUUUAAGUCAGCGGUGAAAGUUUGUGGCUCAACCAUAAAAUUGCCGUUGAAACUGGAAGACUUGAGUGUGUUUGAGGUAGGCGGAAUGCGUGGUGUAGCGGUGAAAUGCAUAGAUAUCACGCAGAACUCCGAUUGCGAAGGCAGCUUACCAGACUGUUACUGACGCUGAAGCACGAGAGCGUGGGUAGCGAACAGG
RNAcentral lists this ribosomal RNA (253 nucleotides) under uncultured Parabacteroides sp. Its description in RNAcentral is "partial 16S ribosomal RNA". It matches the Rfam family "Bacterial small subunit ribosomal RNA", at positions 524 to 776 of the family's 1533-position model. The record is from RNAcentral. Lineage: Bacteria; Pseudomonadati; Bacteroidota; Bacteroidia; Bacteroidales; Tannerellaceae.